Molecule: long non-coding RNA, 280 nt
Organism: Neopelma chrysocephalum (saffron-crested tyrant-manakin)
Lineage: Eukaryota; Metazoa; Chordata; Aves; Passeriformes; Pipridae
Exons: 3
Source: RefSeq, a predicted model, not a curated record
GGGCCGGCACCUCCAGCUUGUGUUUUGCUGCUUGGAUUUGUCUGAAAUAAAAGCUAAACCUUUCCCUGGGAUGGCCAAAGGGACCUGGGAGAGCCAGUUCUCAGCACAGAGCGCUCCUGGAAGCAGCUGAUUCUCCUGGGCAGGAUGGAUUGUUGGCCAGGGGAGCAGCAUUUUGCAGAAAGCUGCUCCAGACCCUCAUUCCCAAGUCUUGUCCUCACAAUCUGGCAGGGGAGGAGGUCACUCUCUCCCGGGAGUUUACAAUCAUCACGUUGUCUGUGUG